This 263-nucleotide ribosomal RNA is filed under the name uncultured bacterium. RNAcentral's name for it is "partial 16S ribosomal RNA". It matches the Rfam family "Bacterial small subunit ribosomal RNA", at positions 793 to 1055 of the family's 1533-position model. The record is from RNAcentral.
GUCCACGCCGUAAACGAUGUCAACUAGCCGUUGGAUUCCUUGAGGAUUUAGUGGCGCAGCUAACGCAUUAAGUUGACCGCCUGUGGAGUACGGCCGCAAGGUUAAAACUCAAAUGAAUUGACGGGGGCCCGCACAAGCGGUGGAGCAUGUGGUUUAAUUCGAAGCAACGCGAAGAACCUUACCAGGCCUUGACAUCUACAGAACUUUCCAGAGAUGGAUUGGUGCCUUCGGGAACUGUAAGACAGGUGCUGCAUGGCUGUCGU